Molecule: ribosomal RNA, 2058 nt
Filed under: Triticum aestivum (bread wheat)
Lineage: Eukaryota; Viridiplantae; Streptophyta; Magnoliopsida; Poales; Poaceae
Description: partial small subunit ribosomal RNA
Source: RNAcentral
AUGGCAACCGUCUCAAUGGACGUCGAAGCGGGAAGAGAUGACAAGAAGAAGGGGUUCCACCAAGAUCUGGUCCUAGCUUACAAGACUCUGGGGGUCAUCUUCGAUGGCCUCGUCACUUCACCUCUCUAUGUUUACCCGUCGAUGAAUCUGACCAAUCCCACCGAGGAAGACUACCUCGGGAUAUACAGCAUCAUGUUCUGGACCCUGACUCUGAUCGGUGUCAUCAAGUACAUAUGCAUAGCUCUGAACGCCGAUGAUCACGGUGAAGGUGGCACACUUGCGAUGUAUUCUCUGCUGUGCCAGCAUGCCAACAUCGACAUCCUCCCGUCCAAGAAGAUUUACAUAGAAGAAGAGGAUCUGGUCUCGAUUUGGCCUGCCGUGACCACAAGGCCAAGCAGGUUGAGGAGAUUCAUCGAGCGCAGCAUCGUCGCCAGGAGGCUACUACUCCUCACUACUAUACUGGGCAUGUUCAUGCUAAUCGGAGAUGGUAUCCUCACACGUGCUAUUUCAGUCUUGUCUGCAAUCGAUGGACUGAGAGGCCCUUUCCCGUCCGUUAAUAAACCUGUGGUGGAGGCUAUGUCUGCAGCGAUCCUCAUUGGGCUCUUCCUGCUGUAGAAGUACGACACGUCAAAAGUGAGUUUCAUAUUCUCUCCAAUCAUGGCGGCAUGGACUUUUACCACACCGAUCAUCGGCAUCUACAACAUCUGGUGCUAUUACCCUGACAUCUUCAAGGCCUUGUCGCCACACUACAUCGUUAUGUUCUUCAUGACCAACCAGAAAAGGGGUUGGCAGCUGCUCGGUGGAACUGUUCUCUGGAUCACCGGUGGUGAGGCCAUCUUUGCAGAUCUUGGACACUUUAGCAAGAGGUCUAUCCAGAUCGCAUUCCUCACCAGCAUAUACCCUUCUCUCGUGCUCACAUACGCUGGUCACACAGCAUACCUGAUCAACAACGUUGAUGACUUCAGCAACGGGUUCUACAAGUUUGUGACGCGUACAGUGUACUGGAUCACCAUGUUCAUCAUUGCGACGCUGGCAGCGAUCGUGGCAAGUCAAUCGCUAAUCUCAGCCACCUUCUCCGUCAUCAAGCAGUCGGUAGCCCUGGAGUACUUCCCCCGUGUUAAGGUGGUGCACACCUCCAGGAACAAGGAAGGGGAGGUAUACUCACCGGAAACCAACUACAUCAUCAUGAUGUUCUGUGUCGGUGCCAUCCUCGGCUUGGGCGAUGGUAAAGACAUUGGAAAUGCAUUCGGGGUGGUUUUCAUCAUGGUUAUGCUGAUCACCACCGUCCUGCUCACCCUGGUGAUGCUCAUCAUCUGGGACACACAUGUGGUGUUCGUGGCGCUCUACUUUGUGCCGUUCCCGAUCCUGGAGGGCACGUAUGUGAGUGCGGUGUGCACCAAGAUCCUCAAGGGCGGGUGGAUGCCAUUCGCGGUGUCAUUGUUGUUGGCACUCAUCAUGUUCGGCUGGUACUACGGCCGACAGAGGAAAGCGUACGAGAUGGCAAACAAGGUAACACUUGAGAGACUCGGUGAGCUCCUCGCAGGUCCGGACGUGCACCGUGUCCCGGGGCUCUGCUUCUUCUACAACAACAUGCAGGAAUGGCUCACCCCUGUGCUCGCGCACUAUAUCAGGAACAUGCGGUUGCUGCACAAGGUGACCGUCUUCCUCACGCUCCGGUACCUGCUGGUGGCCAGGGUUGAUGCCAAGGACCGGGUGCCCAUCCAGCGGCUUGGGCCCAGCGGGGUUUACUGUACAAUACAGUACGGGUAUGCCGACCCGCUCGACUUCGAGGAGGAUGACCUCUCCGGUCAGGUGGUGAACGCCAUGCAGGAGCACAUCGCUGUAGAGGAGGCCCCUUUACUUGAGGAGGCGAGGGGGGCUUGGGUGGUGCACGUCAGGGGCAAGACGAGGUUCCACGUCGGCAAAGAGACGGGCUUCUUCGACCGUAUUUUGCUUGGCUUCUACGAGUUCAUGCACAGCAUGUGCCUGUCCACACUGCCAGCUCUCGGGAUCCCCCUGCAGCAGCGCGUCGAGAUCGGCAUGCUCUACAAGGCCUGA